GUGCUCACUUUGGCAGCACAUGUACUAGAAUUGGAAUAAUACAGAGAAGAUUAGGAUGGCCCCUGUGCAAGGGUGACAUGCAAAUUCAUGAAGCAUUCCAUAUUAAA
This is a small nuclear RNA of Mustela putorius furo (domestic ferret), 107 nucleotides long. Lineage: Eukaryota; Metazoa; Chordata; Mammalia; Carnivora; Mustelidae. The record is from Ensembl.